UAAACUGAGGCCGAAAGACAGGCGCUUAACUGUUAAUUAAGAUAGAGUGGGAUAAAUACCCACCAGUUUAG
Non-coding RNA from Monodelphis domestica (gray short-tailed opossum), 71 nucleotides. The record is from Ensembl. NCBI's taxonomy places the organism in Eukaryota, Metazoa, Chordata, Mammalia, Didelphimorphia, Didelphidae.